This 72-nucleotide transfer RNA is filed under the name Bifidobacterium ruminantium. RNAcentral describes it as "tRNA-OTHER". The record is from RNAcentral. Lineage: Bacteria; Bacillati; Actinomycetota; Actinomycetes; Bifidobacteriales; Bifidobacteriaceae.
CGUGACCGUGCAUAACCGUGCAUUUCUCCCUGCCACAAGGGGUCGCGGGUUCAAAUCCCGCUGGUCCGACCA